This 444-nucleotide ribosomal RNA is filed under the name uncultured bacterium. RNAcentral describes it as "bacterial SSU rRNA". It matches the Rfam family "Bacterial small subunit ribosomal RNA", at positions 33 to 518 of the family's 1533-position model. The record is from RNAcentral.
CACGCUGGCGGCAGGUCUUAGGCAUGCAAGUCGAACGGGUGUAGCAAUACAUCAGUGGCGCACGAGUGAGUAACGCGUGGAAGCUACCAUCACGUGGGGAAUUAACGUUUGGAAACGAACGCUAAUACCGCAUACGCCCGAAAGGGGAAAGAUUUAUCGGUAAUGGAUGUGCCCGCGUUGGAUUAGCUUGUUGGUGGGUAACGGCCUACCAAGGCGAUGAUCCCAUAGCUGGUCUGAGAGGACGAUCAGCCACGCUGGGACUGAGACACGGCCCAGACUCCUACGGGAGGCAGCAGCUAAGAAUAUUGGACAAUGGGGGAAACCCUGAUCCAACGCCAUGCCGCGUGAAUGAAGAAGGCCUUCGGGUUGUAAAGUUCUUUUAGUAGUGAAGAUGAUGACAGUAGCUACAGAAAAAGCACCGGCUAACUUCGUGCCAGCAGCAGC